UACAGAGAGUGCGAGCGUUAAUCGGAAUUACUGGGCGUAAAGCGCGCGUAGGUGGAAGUUUAAGUCGGAUGUGAAAGCCCUGGGCUCAACCCAGGAACUGCAUCCGAUACUCGACUUCUAGAGUAUGGUAGAGGGAAGUGGAAUUUCCGGUGUAGCGGUGAAAUGCGUAGAUAUCGGAAGGAACAUCAGUGGCGAAGGCGACUUCCUGGACCAAUACUGACACUGAGGCGCGAAAGCGUGGGGAGCAAACAGG
RNAcentral lists this ribosomal RNA (253 nucleotides) under uncultured bacterium. RNAcentral describes it as "partial 16S ribosomal RNA". It matches the Rfam family "Bacterial small subunit ribosomal RNA", at positions 524 to 776 of the family's 1533-position model. The record is from RNAcentral.